GGGGAGUUCCAACUGAGUACAAACUAGCAGAUCAACUAGUGGUUUUGAAAGCUUCCCAAUAUUAAGUGCCAUUUUUCCUGUGACCCCAAAUAAGAAUGUUGAUAGAACAAACUACAUCCACUACAACGUGUUGAAAUUGACCAAUUACACUGAGGACGGAUUUAAUGUAAUUCAUGAGCAACUGGUAGCCACAUCCUUAAUGGCCUUCCAAAA
This is a long non-coding RNA of Sphaeramia orbicularis (orbiculate cardinalfish), 213 nucleotides long. RefSeq lists it as uncharacterized. The record is from RefSeq and is a predicted model, not a curated record. The transcript is spliced from 2 exons. NCBI's taxonomy places the organism in Eukaryota, Metazoa, Chordata, Actinopteri, Kurtiformes, Apogonidae.